GAAUUCAUGACCAGCCUGGGCAACAUAGCAAGACGUCGUCUCCAUAAAAAUAUUAAAAAAAAAAAAAAAGAACUCCAGAUGAAGGCCAUAAUGAUCUCACUCAUGUAAACCUCCACACAUGCUUGAACACGCACAGACCCUGCUGGUGUCAGGUAGACAGCAGAUGUGCUGUCAAUGGAGGUCUGGUCACUACUGAUCAAGGGGAUAUUUUGAAGUUGAGCUUAAACACACACACGCAUACACACAUAUAUACACACACACACAUACACACUACCCGCACUAGGGGCUCACAGGAAACCUGAGCUGGAAUGGGACUUCCCUCGACCCUGAGGAGGCGGCUGAAGCUCUGCUGCUCCUGUGUCUGGCUCACACAUCAGGAGGUGCCGGUGCCUGUAAACACUGCCUUACAUGGAAGUGCACAGGGCCUUGGCACAUUCUUCUGGAAUGUUUUGAGUGUGAAAGAGGCAGUGACUGAGCCAACUGAGGGGCUGAGGAAAAGAUACGCUACGACGUGUUGCCUGUCCUGUUCCGUGAAGCCACUUGGAACCUCCUAUCCUUGGAUAAAGACCCUCUGAACUCGGCAGGAGUGGGGGAGUGUGUACGUGUGCGCAGUCUCUUUCUGCUAACCCGUAGCUCGCCUGCACCGCCACUGAGCUCCGUGUCCUGUCCAGGGGAUCAAACUCUGUUGUGCUUCUGCCCAGCAGCAAAGAGAGAGAGACAUCUACUGAGUCCCAGCAGGGGGAAGAACGUGGGGACGCAUUAAAGGAUUUCAUGCUUCAAA
This 781-nucleotide long non-coding RNA is filed under the name Homo sapiens (human). RNAcentral describes it as "HSALNT0405990". Lineage: Eukaryota; Metazoa; Chordata; Mammalia; Primates; Hominidae. The record is from RNAcentral.